This 2282-nucleotide long non-coding RNA is filed under the name Homo sapiens (human). RNAcentral describes it as "long intergenic non-protein coding RNA 1270". Lineage: Eukaryota; Metazoa; Chordata; Mammalia; Primates; Hominidae. The record is from RNAcentral.
AUUAAUGACCCGGAGCCACAUGACGGAGCAUGACACAGCACUUUUGGGCACAAGGCAGGGCCCAGAGGGGUGCGUGGGGGCCGCAGCCCAGCCCCCAAGCCCCGCCAGCGGCUUUACUGGGGUGUAACAAACACACGAUAAACUGCGCAUAUUCCAGUGUUCAUGUGGAUGAGUUUGGACAUAUGCACACACUUCCGAAACCACCAGCACAAUCAAGACAGCAGACAUAUCCAUCGCCCCCAAGGGUGUCCUUGUGUCUUUUUGUCAUUCAUCCCUCCCGGCCGCCCCAUCCACACUCCCAUCGCCUGCCGACUGUGGCUGAUCUGCUUUCUGCGGCUGUGGAUUAGUUUGCGUUCUCUACAAUUUUCUGAAGCACCAGUUAGCCCAGAUGCUUCUCAUCUUUGGAGUUGAGCUGCAGGCUGGAGACCUGGAAGGCCCUCGCAGCGCCUGCUCCCAUCCUCUCACCUCACGAAAGCGCAGGAAUGUGGGUUUGGAGCCAAUGAAAAGUACUGGAAUCUGGCUCUGCUCUGUGACCCUGGACAAGUCACUGCCCCUCUCUGGGCUUCAGUUUCCUCCUUGCUCCAUGAGGGCAGGGGAUUUUGUCUGUUUCAUUCACAAUGUGUUCCCAGAGCUCAGCACAGUGUCAGGCACACACUAGGUAACAGCACCUCGACUUCCUACUGAAGAACCCCCUCUUCCCUUUUCUCAGUCCAUGAGGCUGGGGGUGCCCAGAGGCCUCUGUCUCCAGGGGUGGACAUGUGACCGGGUCUUGCUCUAGUGAUUGGUCCAGGGAUGGGCACAUGACUGAGCCUGCCCAAUGAAACUUGAUCUUGGGACUUCAGGGUUGGCCAUGAUUUGUGAAGGAGAUGCCAUUUUCCAUUGGAUGGACAGUGAGCAAGUGAACGCUUAGAGAAGAAGAGGACAAAACAAGGGAAAAGCCUGCCUGACAGGAAGCAGCACAGAGCUGGACAGGCUUUGAACUCCUGGAUCCCACUGUACCUGAAAUUAGGCACCUUCAACUUUCUAGUUAUGUGAGCCACUGUCUUUCCCAUUUUUGGCUGAAAACAGUUGGGACUGGCUUUCUGUCCCUUGCAUACAGAAGGUGCUGACUGACCCCUGCCCCAUGGAAGAAGAUACUCCAGGCAGAGGAAAUAGUGUGUAUAGACACCCCUAAGCGAAUGCCAAGCGGGGCACUCAUGUACCAAGAAGAAGGAGGAGGAGGCACCUGGGAGCUGAGCUUAAGAGUUAGUCGGGUGGUCAAGGUGGGAGAAGGGGGUAUCUUUAGCAGAGGGAACAACCAUUGCAAAAGCUUGGAGGGGUGACUAGUUAGUGAAGAUCAACUGUGUGCUGAGCUCGUGUUGGGUGGCAAGGGACACAGACGAAAAGGGCACGGUGGAACCCAGCUACUUCUCACCUGCUCCAGCGCAGUGCAGGCUUGUCUGCUUUUGGAGCCGAGCCUGGACACCUCCGUGUCCUUCCCCCGGCAGAGUGCUGCCAGCACGCUGUCUCAGACUCUCCAGCAUCUCCUGGUUGAUGUGCAUCAUGGGGACCACACAAGAUUAUUUUAUAGGCUGCACAGGCAAAGCAUAAAAUCACCUCGGGUCACAUAGCGAGAGUUAUUCUCUCUGCAAAUUCUUUACAGUCUUUCCUUUAUAUCCAGAAGAGUCUCUGUGUGGUGCUAACUUGCCUCGAAGACCAAAUAAUUGCUAGUCUCCCUUUGUGAAAAGGAGAGCAGGUGUCAGGCUCAUUCAUGUCUCAGGCACACAAUUGUAUCUAGCUAGACUUUUCAAAAUGUCCUAUAGAGCUGCAGCACAUAUGAAUGAGGUGUCCAGCUGGUCCCAAACCUGUAAUCGGCACCCCAGUGAGCAGACUGGACAUCCCCACCCCCACAGCUGCCCUUUCUCCCCUCCACUCAUGUUCCCUCUAGGGCCACCACGAUCCCGACUUGUAUCACCACAGAUGAGUUUCACAUGUUUUUGAAUUUUACAUCUUAUCUGUUUUCUGUUCCUAUACAAGUUUGCCUUUUUUGAAUUCCAUAUAAGUGGGAUUCUACAAUGUGUUAUCUCAAUUUGAGUCUGUUUUUUUUUUCCUGCUCAGCAUGAUGUUUUUGAGAUGCAUAUAUGCGGUUUUGUGUAUCUGUAGAUGGUUCUUUUUUAUUGCAGAAUAAUGUUCCAGGGUAUGGAUGUACCAAAGCUUGUUCAUCCAUUCACCAGCUGAGGGAUAUUUGGACUGUUUCCAGUUUUCAGCCAUUAUAAAUAAAGCCACUAGAAACAUUUGCAAAC